AUUGAACGCUGGCGGCAGGCCUAACACAUGCAAGUCGAGCGGAUGAAGGGAGCUUGCUCCUGGAUUCAGCGGCGGACGGGUGAGUAAUGCCUAGGAAUCUGCCUGGUAGUGGGGGAUAACGUCCGGAAACGGGCGCUAAUACCGCAUACGUCCUGAGGGAGAAAGUGGGGGAUCUUCGGACCUCACGCUAUCAGAUGAGCCUAGGUCGGAUUAGCUAGUUGGUGGGGUAGAGGCCUACCAAGGCGACGAUCCGUAACUGGUCUGAGAGGAUGAUCAGUCACACUGGAACUGAGACACGGUCCAGACUCCUACGGGAGGCAGCAGUGGGGAAUAUUGGACAAUGGGCGAAAGCCUGAUCCAGCCAUGCCGCGUGUGUGAAGAAGGUCUUCGGAUUGUAAAGCACUUUAAGUUGGGAGGAAGGGCAGUAAGUUAAUACCUUGCUGUCUUGACGUUACCAACAGAAUAAGCACCGGCUAACUUCGUG
Molecule: ribosomal RNA, 484 nt
Filed under: uncultured bacterium
Lineage: Bacteria
Description: partial 16S ribosomal RNA
Rfam family: Bacterial small subunit ribosomal RNA
Source: RNAcentral